UGCAGCAAACACUUGGUGCCGUGGGCAUAUACAGUGCUGCUCUUGGAAUUUCCACAAUGUUUCCCGUGCCCCUUGUAUAUUCUAACAUCAUCAUUGGCUUGGCCGGAACAGUAUACACAGCGUUGGGAGGACUGCGUGGCGUGGUUUGGGCAGACUGCGUUCAAGCAAUGGUGAUGUUUUUAUCACCAAUAACAAUCAUUGCAAAGGUUGUUCAUGACUCCCGUUAUGCGACUCCACCACUGAGGUCCAUUACAGAGUUCAACGUCACAGAGUACAU
Molecule: long non-coding RNA, 277 nt
Organism: Rhipicephalus microplus (southern cattle tick)
Lineage: Eukaryota; Metazoa; Arthropoda; Arachnida; Ixodida; Ixodidae
Source: RefSeq, a predicted model, not a curated record